GCUGGAAGCAGACACAUGCAAAGAGGGGAAGCCAGGGGAGCAUCCUGGCUUUAUAACAACCCACUUUCGCAGGAACUAAUCAUUCCUAUGAGAACCAGUUCAGUUUCUUGAGAGCGAGAAUGGACUAACUUGAGAAUACCACGAAGCCAUUCAUGAGGCCUGUCCCUAUAACCCAAAUACCUUCCACUAGUCCCCACCUCCCAACACCAGCACACUGAGGAUCAAAUUUCAAUAUGAGCUUUGGUGGAGACAAACAACCAUAUCCAAACCACAGCAGAUGGCAAGUCCAAAAUCUGCAGGGCAGACGAGCAGGCUGGAGAAUAUAGAAAGAGUCAAUGUUGCAGUUCAAGGCUGAAGGCCAUCUGCUGAAAGAAUUUCCUCUUGCUCAGGGGAGGUCAGUCUUUUGUUCUAGUUAGGCCUUCAACUGGUUGGAUAAGGCACACCCACAUUAUGAAGGGCAAUCUGGUUUCCUCAAAGUCCACUAAAUUAAAUAUUAAUUUCAUCUAAAACACCUUCACAGAAACAUCCAGAAUAAUGUUUGACCAGUAUUUGGGCAUUGCAGCUCAGCCAGGUUGACACAAAGUUAACCAUCACAAGACCAUAAGCUGAAAGUUUUACAACCCAAGAGUCCUAUUAGAUUAUGGAUGAGUGCCAGUUACUGGGGGAGUCACUGCACAUAAAGGUCUUCAUAAUAUUGGACCUCGCAAAACCAUGGAUCUACAUCAGAGGAGAGAGAAGGAAACCUGGCAAAGAUGGAAAAAUCAUCAGGUAUACGUGGUGGACUGGAGUUCCAACAACCAGACCUUUGGGGCUGGGGUAAGUUUUUCCUCCUAACUCCUCUGUGUGGGGAACUGAGACAUUUGGCUUCCUGUUAGGAAGUUAAAGCUUGUGGCUGUAGAAGAAGGCCUGACUCUUGGGGAAGCUGCAGAAGUCUUAGAGCUCUGAACAUAGGGCUUUGGACAUGGAGAUUCUUACAUAUGUUCAACAAGUAUCCUUUGUGCCAGGCUCUGUUCUACAUGCUGGCAACAUAGCCUUGAACAAAAGUCACAGAAAUCCCUGCUUUCUUGGAGUUUUCAUGCCACCAGGGGAGACAGACAAUAGACAAUAAGAGUACGUGAAAUACAACAUACAAUAUGCUAAUUACAAGUGAUAAAGAGAAAAAUAAAGCAGGGAAGCGGACUAGCAAAUACUGGGGAACAGAUGUUGUGAUUUCAGAUAAGGUGGCUAAGGAAGGCCUUGACAAGGAAGUAACAUUUGAGUAAAGACCAGAAGCACAAGAGAAGGUGAACAGUGUAGACAUCCGGAGCAAAAGCAUUCUAAGCAGAAGAAUAACUGUAAAGGCCGUUGUUGUGGGUUGAAUUAUUUCCCAUCGCCAAAAGAUAUGUUGAAGUCCUAAGCCCUGGUACAUGUGAAAUGUGACCUUAUUUGAAGACAGGAUCUUUACAGAUCAAGUUAAGAUGAGGUCACUAGGGUGGGCCCUAAUCCAAUAUGACUGGUGUUUUAUGAGAGGACACAGAGACAGAGAGACACAGGGAAAGUGCUGUGGGAUGACAAAAGAGAGAUUUAAGUGAUACAACUGCAAGCCAAGGAAUGCCUAGAGUUGACAGCCACAGCCAGAAUCUCAGAAGAGGCAGGCAAGAGUUCUCUCCUACAGGUUUUAGUGGGAGCAUGGCCCUGGUUAACACCUUGAUUUUGGACUUCUCACCUCCGGAACUGUGAGACAAUAAAUUUCUGUUGUUUUGAGCCACCUAGUUUGUGGUACUUUGCAACGGCAGCCCUAGAAAACUAAUCCAGCCAUGAAAUGGGAAUGUGCCUGGUAUGUUGAAGGAAGAUGGAGGCCAGUGUCGCAUGGGAGGGAGUCAUAAGAGAUUAGAUCAGAGAAGUUACACAACAGAUGGCGAGAUCAUGUGGCACCUUAUGGUCAGAGAUGUGACAUGAUCUGACUUACCCUUUAACGGGCUCACCUAUAGUUAUAACUGUGUGUUAUAUUCAUGGCUGAAGGGAGAUGUAUAGAAGAACCCAGACUAUAUUACGUACACUAGAUAAUCAUAAGAGGUAGGUACCAAAUUGCAUAAAUACUAAAAUCACUGUGCUUAUAAUUAAAUCUUUCAUUUGCUCUUUAGGUAUAUUUUAAUCUGUAAUGUUAAUGUGAAACUAAUUUUUAAAA
RNAcentral lists this long non-coding RNA (2167 nucleotides) under Rhinopithecus bieti (black snub-nosed monkey). RNAcentral's name for it is "lncRNA (ENSRBIG00000046028.1)". The record is from RNAcentral. Lineage: Eukaryota; Metazoa; Chordata; Mammalia; Primates; Cercopithecidae.